CGCGUAGGCGGGAUAGCAAGUCAGUGGUGAAUCUUGCAGCUUAACUGCAAACUGCCGUUGAUACUGCUGUUCUUGAGUGUGGAAGAGAGAGGCGGAAUUCCAGGUGUAGUAGUGAAAUACGUAGAUAUCUGGAAGAACACCAAUUGCGAAGGCUGCUUCUUGGUCCAUAACUGACGCUGAGGCGCGAAAGCGUGGGGAGCAAACA
RNAcentral lists this ribosomal RNA (205 nucleotides) under uncultured bacterium. RNAcentral describes it as "partial 16S ribosomal RNA". It matches the Rfam family "Bacterial small subunit ribosomal RNA", at positions 568 to 774 of the family's 1533-position model. The record is from RNAcentral.